RNAcentral lists this ribosomal RNA (253 nucleotides) under uncultured bacterium. Its description in RNAcentral is "partial 16S ribosomal RNA". It matches the Rfam family "Bacterial small subunit ribosomal RNA", at positions 524 to 776 of the family's 1533-position model. The record is from RNAcentral.
GACGAACCGAGCGACCGUUAUUCGGAAUCACUGGGCUUAAAGGGCGCGUAGGCGGAUCAAAAAGUCAGGGGUGAAAUCCCACGGCUCAACCGUGGAAGUGCCUUUGAUACUUUUGAUCUCGAGGGAGGUAGGGGCGUGCGGAACUUCCGGUGGAGCGGUGAAAUGUGUUGAUAUCGGAAGGAACGCCGGUGGCGAAAGCGGCACACUGGAUCUCAACUGACGCUGAGGCACGAAAGCCAGGGGAGCGAACGGG